AGCGAACGUUAGCGGCGGGCUUAACACAUGCAAGUCGAACGAGAAUGAGGGCUUCGGCUCUCUAGUAAAGUGGCGGACGGGUGCGUAACACGUGGGCAAUCUACCUUCCAGCGGGGGACAACCGUUCGAAAGGAUGGCUAAUACCGCAUACGUCGGCGAGGGCUACGGUCCUUGUCGGGAAUGAUGGCCUCUUCAUGAAAGCUGUCACUGGAAGAUGAACCCGCGGCCCAUCAGCUAGUUGGCGAGGUAAUGGCUCACCAAGGCUAAGACGGGUAGCUGGUCUGAGAGGAUGAUCAGCCACACUGGGACUGCGACACGGCCCAGACUCCUACGGGAGGCAGCAGUGGGGAAUAUUGGGCAAUGGGGAAACCCUGAUGCAGCGACGCCGCGUGGAGGAUGAAGGAUCUAGUCUGUAAACUCCUUUUGUUGGGAAAGACUUAGGACGGUACCAACGAAUAAGGACCGGCUAAUACGUGCCAGCAGCCGCAGUAAG
Molecule: ribosomal RNA, 493 nt
Filed under: uncultured bacterium
Lineage: Bacteria
Description: bacterial SSU rRNA
Rfam family: Bacterial small subunit ribosomal RNA
Source: RNAcentral